GGAAAGAGGGGGAUUGGAGGAGAAAGCGAGUCUCGUGACGCAUUCCGUGCAGAGUCCUGGCUUGGGUAGACACCAAGGAAGGUCAAGCCGGACAUAAAGACCACGUUUCUCACCCUCCUCGCCCUACCAGGGAAGCGAACCCACUUUAGUGGAGGGUCUGCCGUCAGAGAUCCACACACAGUCAUUUCUUCUGCCCAUUUCUCAGAUCAGAAAAGGGAGGCCCUGCGAGGUUCGGUGAUUCCCUCUCCAACGCCAUGGCCUGUGAGCGAGUGCGAAACCCAGUCUCUAAGAGAGGCAAGAUGUGUGGAAGUGACUCGGAGACCCGGCAGAACCGCAGGCGGACUCAGAGAGGGCAGCUACGUGCUGGAUGCUCCUCCCUCGCGACGAGGGGCGGCCUUGCCUCUCUCAGCGCUGCCUGGGGAUUUCAGGAGCCGCCUGGACUGGGAGUGUUGAGCUGUGCCAGUGACAGGGCUCCGAUGGCCCGUGAAGCACGAAAGGGCCACAUUGCGAACCCUACUACGUUGCCGGGCGGUCUGUGCGUGAGAGUUAAAUACAAGCCAGUGCAACCGCCGCCCUCUCGAAGAAAAGAGAAUCCAUUCUCCUCAGAGAGCGGGCAGCUUAAGGAAUCCACAGCCUCCUUCUGUGAUGCUACCUGGUCCCCCCAAGCCGGUGUUUCGCAAGUGUUGGAACCUGUGAGGAGAGAAGGAUCACACGGCUCCUUUAGCGGGAACAGGCCUGGCAACCACAGAGGCCCCGGUGGGAGGGCACCAGGCCUCCUGGGAGGGAGUGUAGCUGGAUGCAGUCCCCCCCCUGGAUGCCCCACCUUCACUUUGGACCCAAGACCUCAAUAAAGUUGGGAUAGAUGAAUAGUCCCUACCCACCCUCACACAGAAGUCACUAAGUUUAAUCUUACUGCUUGGAGAGUUUGGCAAAUCUACUCAUUUCCCAAACUCCCGGCUUCUUAACAUCUCAUGGACUGUGGUGGUCUAGAAAGUGCCUGUAGGGCCAACCAUGUGGCCAUAAAGCCUGACUCUGCCCAUCCCAUCCCCUCUCUCCCACCGUGGGACCCAAACACAGAGUCUGCCCGUCCCCCAUGCAUGUCAUCCUCACCCCUGGAUGGGCCCGCUAACUCUCCCUGUCUCCUGGAGCUAUUAUGAUUUUUUAAAUUACAUACAUAUGUAAAUUUCAGAAUUGUGCCUGCCGCUAAGCAGAGCUAUGUCAGUUUUAGGAUUUAUUUGUGUUCCUGUUAAAAUCACUUAGGAGUAGUGGCCCUGGAUUUGGACAAUGAAAUCUGAAGUCAGGGACAAGUUGGAACAGAACUCAACUGGGGAUACCUGGACUCUCAUUCUGGAAAACUCUGUGUUUUAUAUUGAUCCUGGGGUUGGAGGUUGGAGGGAGCACAUGGAUCACCAUGCAGAAAUGUCAUCCUGUAAAGACCCCAGUGCACUUGGACAUUUUUUCCACUGGUAUCUGGUUUCCUAUGACCUCCAGGAUCCUGCGUGGGUGUCCCCGUCAUGGACAUGCAGGCUGGGGAUGUAUGCCACACGUCAAACAUUUUUCUGAACCCCAGCCACAGUGUUUCUGGCUCCUGCACACAUUGCAGGAAGACUUCUGUGGAGCUGGAAUUUGACACAGACACAUUCAGGGCAGUCAGUUGCUGAGGAAGGUUUAUCUCUUAGGCUCAGAGGUACCCCUAGUCUCUCAGGCUCUAAAAGGAUUUAGAAGCAGGGCAUUGACAAUUUCCCACCAUUUGUAAAAAGGCUCUUUCUCCCCUUCUCCAACAGUUGCUCCUGCCAAUACAGAUGGGGAGCCUUCCUGCCUGGGCCAGGGCCCCACUUUCCUUCUGUCACCUGGAUUCUUAGCCUAUACAUCUGAACACAGCUGCUUUUCUUGGCCAUUCUAGUCAAACAAAGUGAUAGGAAAACUGGAUUUUUUCUUUAGGACUCAUUCCCUCAACACCCCUUUAUAGCAAUAUCCUUUGGAGACCCUAACGCCCAACUUGGGGACUCAGGACCAACUGCUCGCAACCAGGGUGUCACAUGGGGCAGUGUGCACCUCAGCCUGCUUCUGCCCUGGAGUCGUUUCUUCAACAACAACUGCCUGAUUCAUUGGGAAGAGCCCAGCAGCUUCGUGCUGGUGGCUUGGAAAGUAGCCACUAAAUGUUCACCCUUAGACUCAAUGACAGAAAGUAUAACAUCUCCCAGGACCUUGAAUUCCAAAAAGGAACUUAAAGAAGAAAAGAGUGGCUGAUGGCAUGGAGCCCUGUGUAAUUAAACCCUUGUAUCUAUCUCUAUGACAAGCAAAGCGAACGUUUUGACUGCAUGAGCUGGGCUUCGUCAGUGGUCAUAUGCACACAGGAACAGGGAAGCAGAUGCUCCAAGAUGUACAAAAAGAAGCUCUACCCUUUAGUGAGUUGUUACCCUUAUCAUUAGAGCCCUGGCAUGGAAGAUCACCAAUCUCUUCAUUCAUCUCACUCCUGGGGGACUGGACUGCUGCCUGCUAUGGAUCGGACACUGUGCUGGGCCAGGAUGCUGCCUCCUCGGCCCACAGACUAAGAGCCCAGGAGUUAUUUUGGAUUCAGCUUUUCUACUCCUGGGAAGAAGGAAAAAGAAGCACUGUCAAUUAAAGUUCAAGACACAACUUCUUUUUCUGA
Molecule: non-coding RNA, 2653 nt
Organism: Microcebus murinus (gray mouse lemur)
Lineage: Eukaryota; Metazoa; Chordata; Mammalia; Primates; Cheirogaleidae
Source: RefSeq, a predicted model, not a curated record